UACGGGGGGAGCAAGCGUUGUUCGGAUUUACUGGGCGUAAAGGGCGCGUAGGCGGUCAGCCAAAGUCAGUUGUGAAAUCUCCGGGCUUAACUCGGAAAGGUCAACUGAUACUGUGCGACUAGAGUGCGGAAGGGGCAACUGGAAUUCUCGGUGUAGCGGUGAAAUGCGUAGAUAUCGAGAGGAACACCGGCGGCGAAGGCGGGUUGCUGGGCCGACACUGACGCUGAUGCGCGAAAGCCAGGGGAGCGAACGGG
RNAcentral lists this ribosomal RNA (254 nucleotides) under uncultured bacterium. Its description in RNAcentral is "partial 16S ribosomal RNA". It matches the Rfam family "Bacterial small subunit ribosomal RNA", at positions 524 to 776 of the family's 1533-position model. The record is from RNAcentral.